Molecule: long non-coding RNA, 1037 nt
Filed under: Apteryx haastii (Great spotted kiwi)
Lineage: Eukaryota; Metazoa; Chordata; Aves; Apterygiformes; Apterygidae
Description: lncRNA (ENSAHAG00000013437.1)
Source: RNAcentral
GCCGCAGAGGGUGCAGGUGCAAUGCAGAGCCAUGCAAAACACCCCGGCCCCAGCGGGUCAUCCCGCUGGUGGGGAUGAGAUGCUCGGUGCACCCCAUGCACGGGCUCGUGGGGGCCCGCCGAGCUGCAGCGCUGCACGGCGCUGCCGCCCCGCGAGGUGCAGGAAAGCCUGGGCCGGGAGGGAGCAGACCCCGUGGCAAAGGAGGAGCCCAUGCGGACAGGGAGCCUGCGGCAGGGCGAGGACCCCGCUCCCAUGGAGAGGCAUGGCUCCAAACCGGAGCCAAACCCACGCCGGGAGAGCAAGCAACUCCGCGGCCUUCUUGCCGAUCUUUUCUGCCAUUCGGAGGAGCAGAACGGAGGCGAAAGCAAUGCAACGCCCUGGCCGGCCCGGGAGAGCUCUUGUUUGCGUAGGGUUUUCCUGGUUGUGCCGAGUCCUGGCUCCCCCUUCAAAGCCUCUGCUUCAAAGCCGCCCCGGUCCACACGCUAGCUGGACACGCGCUGCGAGGAGCGGCCGAGGCUCCCUGGGGAUCGCUGCCCCGCGGGCUGCGCGCUCCAGAGGCACCGGCUGGUGGGGCCCCCAGGCUCCCAGUCCCUGCAAAGCCCCCGCGGGACCCUCGGCCAAGGGCAGCUUCGGUCUGGGGGCUGGGGGAGGAAGGAGCUGGCCCGUGAGGCACUUGGCACGGUCCAGCGCUCCUGGACGAGCCAGGAACAUGUUUGCUGGCGAGACACAGCCCGGAAACGCAGGGGAACGACCUGCAAAGAGCCYCAGCUUCCUCCCAAGCCAGCGCCGCGUCGGGGCAGCCAGGGAAAGGGGCUCCCUCCCGGCCUCUCCGUCCCUCCCGCCCAGCCCCGCGCUGGGCUGGGGGAUGUGCUGUGUCCGUGGGGUGUCCGUGCACAGGGCAGGGAUGGAGGAUUUGCUGCCCGGGAGGGGUCACACCGUGCUUCCCGGUGCAGCCUGCCAGCCCUGCUCCUCGCCGCUCCUCCCGGGCCCCAAAUGCACUGCAUGGGCCCAUCUGUAGUGGCAUCAGGCCUGCUGCC